RNAcentral lists this ribosomal RNA (468 nucleotides) under uncultured bacterium. Its description in RNAcentral is "partial 16S ribosomal RNA". It matches the Rfam family "Bacterial small subunit ribosomal RNA", at positions 28 to 507 of the family's 1533-position model. The record is from RNAcentral.
GACGAACGCUGGCGGCGUGCUUAACACAUGCAAGUCGAACGGAAAGGCCCUGCUUUUGUGGGGUGCUCGAGUGGCGAACGGGUGAGUAACACGUGAGUAACCUGCCCUUGACUUUGGGAUAACUUCAGGAAACUGGGGCUAAUACCGGAUAAGAGCUCCUGCUGCAUGGUGGGGGUUGGAAAGUUACGGCGGUUGGGGAUGGACUCGCGGCUUAUCAGCUUGUUGGUGGGGUAGUGGCUUACCAAGGCUUUGACGGGUAGCCGGCCUGAGAGGGUGACCGGCCACAUUGGGACUGAGAUACGGCCCAGACUCCUACGGGAGGCAGCAGUGGGGAAUAUUGCACAAUGGGCGGAAGCCUGAUGCAGCAACGCCGCGUGCGGGAUGACGGCCUUCGGGUUGUAAACCGCUUUCGCCUGUGACGAAGCGUGAGUGACGGUAAUGGGUAAAGAAGCACCGGCUAACUACGUG